Scatophagus argus is the source of this 544-nucleotide long non-coding RNA. RefSeq lists it as uncharacterized. The transcript has 4 exons. The record is from RefSeq and is a predicted model, not a curated record. Lineage: Eukaryota; Metazoa; Chordata; Actinopteri; Scatophagidae.
UGUUGUCAGUGACCUUUACAAAAACCGGUGCUAUGCCAAAAUUUGGACGUAUAAUCAGCUACAAAUAAACGAAUAAGUAAAUAAAUACCAAAUUAUAUUAUGCUCAUUAAAUGACUUGUUCAUUGGAUUCAACUUGAGGACCCCUAAUAAGAAGAACCCUUCAUGUGAAGUCCUCAGGGAAAAAUUGGCAAAGAGGAGAGUGGGAUGCAGCCUGGAGACGUGUUAUCCCAGCACCUUGCUUAACCACGGUGAAAAACAGAUAGUGACAGCGAUAACGAAGCAGACCCUCUCAUCUUUUCUCUGUGGGCCAACCCUCCAGCAACUAUUUGUCACAAGCAGAUGUUUCAGAGAACCAUGACCUCCAUGUGCGGUUGCUGGGGAAUGGGAGCUUGGCGCCAGCGAUGAUUGGAAACCUGCAGAGCAGAGAGGCUAUGGUCAAGGACAUCGUCAGAUCACAGAACAGGGCCAGCUGAUGGAAGAGUUCAGAGGGAGGAGAAUCCUUACUUCAACAUUGCCAGGAAAGCUGCCGGUUCCACAUCUGGAA